RNAcentral lists this ribosomal RNA (156 nucleotides) under Schizophyllum commune. Its description in RNAcentral is "5.8S ribosomal RNA". It matches the Rfam family "5.8S ribosomal RNA". From Rfam's summary of the family: 5.8S ribosomal RNA (5.8S rRNA) is a component of the large subunit of the eukaryotic ribosome. It is transcribed by RNA polymerase I as part of the 45S precursor that also contains 18S and 28S rRNA. Functionally, it is thought that 5.8S rRNA may be involved in ribosome translocation. The record is from RNAcentral. Lineage: Eukaryota; Fungi; Basidiomycota; Agaricomycetes; Agaricales; Schizophyllaceae.
UACAACUUUCGACAACGGAUCUCUUGGCUCUCGCAUCGAUGAAGAACGCAGCGAAAUGCGAUAAGUAAUGUGAAUUGCAGAAUUCAGUGAAUCAUCGAAUCUUUGAACGCACCUUGCGCCCUUUGGUAUUCCGAGGGGCAUGCCUGUUUGAGUGUC